GACGAACGCUGGCGGCGCGCUUAACACAUGCAAGUCGAACGGGGUUGUUCCUUCGGGGGCGGCCCAGUGGCGAACGGGUGCGUAACACGUGAGCAACCUGCCUUGGUGUGGGGGAUAACCUCGGGAAACCGGGGCUAAUACCGCAUGGGCUCCCUUGGCCGAUUGGCCGUGGGAGCAAAGGUCCUGCAAGGGACUGCACCGAGAGGGGCUCGCGGCGUAUCAGCUAGUUGGUGGGGUAACGGCUCACCAAGGCGACGACGCGUAGGGGGUCUGAGAGGGUGGGCCCCCCCAUUGGGGCUGGGAUACGGCCCAGACUUCUACGGGGGGCAGGCGUGGGGAAAUCUUGCGCAAUGGCCGAAAGGCUGACGCAGCGACGCCGCGUGCGGGAGGACGCUCUUCGGGGUGUAAACCGCUGUCAGCGGGGACGAACCCCUGGGGGAGGAAAUGCCCUCAGGUUGACGGUACCCGCAGAGGAAGCACCGGCUAACUCCGUG
This 494-nucleotide ribosomal RNA is filed under the name uncultured bacterium. RNAcentral describes it as "partial 16S ribosomal RNA". It matches the Rfam family "Bacterial small subunit ribosomal RNA", at positions 28 to 507 of the family's 1533-position model. The record is from RNAcentral.